Unclassified non-coding RNA from Callithrix jacchus (white-tufted-ear marmoset), 296 nucleotides. It matches the Rfam family "Metazoan signal recognition particle RNA". Rfam says of the family: The signal recognition particle (SRP) is a universally conserved ribonucleoprotein. It is involved in the co-translational targeting of proteins to membranes. The record is from Ensembl. Lineage: Eukaryota; Metazoa; Chordata; Mammalia; Primates; Cebidae.
GCCAGGUGCGGGGUGCGUGCCUGCAGUUCCAGCUACUUGGGAGGCUGAGGUGGGAGGAUCGCUUGAGCCCAGGAGUUCUGGGCUGUAGUGCGCUAUGCCGAUCAGGUGUCUGCACUGAUUUCGGCAUCAAUAUGGUGACCUCCCGGAAGCAGGGCACCACCAGGUUGCCUUAGGAGUGAACCGGCCGAGGUCGUUAAGCGAGCAGGUCAAAAAUCCCGUGCUGUUCAGUAGUGGGAUCGCCCCUGUGAACAGCCACUGCACUCCAGCCUGGGCAACACACCGAGACCCCGUCUCUU